GACGAACGCUGGCGGCGUGCUUAACACAUGCAAGUCGAGCGGAAAGGCCACUUCGGUGGUACUCGUGCGGCGAACGGGUGAGUAACACGUGAGUAAUCUGCCCCUGGCUUUGGGAUAGCCACCGGAAACGGUGAUUAAUACCGGAUACGACCACUUCUCGCAUGGGAUGGUGGUGGAAAGUUUUUUCGGCCAGGGAUGUGCUCGCGGCCUAUCAGCUUGAUGGUGAGGUAAUGGCUCACCAUGGCUUCGACGGGUAGCCGGCCUGAGAGGGUGACCGGUCACACUGGACUGAGACACGGCCCAGACUCCUACGGGAGGCAGCAGUGGGGGAUAUUGGACAAUGGGCGGAAGCCUGAUCCAGCAACGCCGCGUGAGGGAUGACGGCCUUCGGGUUGUAAACCUCUUUCAGCAGGGACGAAGCGCAAGUGACGGUACCUGCAGAAGAAGCACCGGCCAACUACGUGCCAGCCGCCGCGGUAA
Molecule: ribosomal RNA, 480 nt
Filed under: uncultured bacterium
Lineage: Bacteria
Description: partial 16S ribosomal RNA
Rfam family: Bacterial small subunit ribosomal RNA
Source: RNAcentral